CUCAAAGUGAAAGACAUGCUGAAAAAUAUGAAAUGCCGGUGGCCUUGAGCGGUGCUUUUCUAAAAACAGGACAAGGGUGUGUUAGACAGACCUAGCAACGUCUUUUCCAGUGGAGGACAGUCCAGGCAAAAACCUCACUGAAGAGUCAACAUCUUCAAGCAAUACAUAUGAAACAAAGCAGGAACUUCAAGGAACUGCAGCAGGAAGAGCAUGUGCAAAGGCCCUGAGAAGCCUGAAUUCUGACUGAGAGGAGAUGGUCCUGAGGCAUGAGUCAGUCAUCUUCUUGGUCUGCUGGCUUUCAGAAUAAAGUUCCUUGCCCCCGAC
This 324-nucleotide long non-coding RNA is filed under the name Sus scrofa (pig). RNAcentral describes it as "lncRNA (ENSSSCG00030038209.1)". The record is from RNAcentral. Lineage: Eukaryota; Metazoa; Chordata; Mammalia; Artiodactyla; Suidae.